This is an RNA transcript of Lotus japonicus, 2054 nucleotides long. RefSeq lists it as uncharacterized. The transcript is spliced from 4 exons. The record is from RefSeq and is a predicted model, not a curated record. NCBI's taxonomy places the organism in Eukaryota, Viridiplantae, Streptophyta, Magnoliopsida, Fabales, Fabaceae.
CCGUUUGAUUGACAAAGAUUUGGGUUUUUAAUUCCAUCCGUUUCACUUUUCCAUUCCAUCUGAAACACAUUUCAUUUCACCUCUCUCGCGUUAUUCUUCCGUUUCUUUUCUCACCCCUUUUUCAUUCGGAUCCUUCUCCUUCUCUGAAGCUCCAUAACAAAAAAACAUACGACUAAGAUUCACCAGAGCAGAGCCGUGCGAGAGAGAGAGAGGGUCCAACCGAAGAGAUGAGGUCGUGCGGCACUGGGUGAGACAGCGGAGGAGCUCCGAUCUGGUGCGACCCGCCGCUGUUUCGACGGCAAAAGUUGGUGUGCUUGGUAUGUAGAAAAAGGAAUGAACGAACGAAAUGGAAGAUAGGAAUGCUCACACCUGCGAUGAAGAUGGCGUUGCUGUGAACAGUCUGCAGAGAGGGUGCGAAAUUGAAUGAGUGUGCAGAGAGGGUGAGAAACGUGAAAGACAUAAAUCAAAUUGGAAAUUGGAGAGUUCCUAUGGUUUUUUGUUUCGGACGUUCUGUCGCUUAUGUUACGGGCACCACUGCUUCCGCCUUGGAUUUUUUGCUCCUCCACUGUUGUGCGCCUUGGCUGGGUUCAUCUGUGUGUUAGUGUGUUCUGUGACAGCAACGCAAGAGGUAUCACCACAGCUUUUCCUGUUAAGUGCCUCUUCUGUAAGGUUUGUUGUUGCAGACCAAGCUUCCUUUACAGUUUACAUUUCUGAUGGCAUCCAUUGCUUCUUGAUUUGUCAUUACCUUGAAUAAUUUAAUAUACAGAUGUAAGAAGUGCAAAAAUAUGGUCCAUAAGGUGUGUGCAUAGUUCAUUAUUUGUCAAAUCUUACCUUCCAUAACCCAUCACUGGCUAAUAUAACAAACUCUGCAUCAUCAUCUAUCAGCUCCACUACCAUAUAUAUGGUUCUGAGCUCAAGUGUUUCUUUAGGCUCAAGUGUGGUUUUGAGCUCAGUUUCAACAUAUGCUCUCUUCACUACAUCUCCAAGUUCAGUCCAAGAGUCAGGCUACAUUAUGAAAAAAGAAAGUUUCACAGAUGAAGACUCAACAAACACCAGCAAUUUAUCCACCCAUGUUAGCUUCGGGACUAUUUAAGCAAGGUACUAAUAGCUCUACCCAUAUUUGUUGUUAUUAUAGUUUCAGUUUUCUAAUUGCCAUUUUCAAAUUUUGGAAAGUAUGAAAAAGUAUAAGUUGAAAUUGUCUAACACUGUUCUGUCAUCUUCUAUGUCUCUGUAGCAUUUUGAUUAACUACAAUUGAAUCACUUUUGCUGGUCCGGGGUUGACCAAGUUCAAGUCAUGGCUAUUUGGGCCUACGGUUUAUUUGGUGUUGAACUAUUCUCAUUGUAGUGUGGUUCUAAAUAUGUCUCAGAUUUUUUUAUAAUGGCAAAGUUGUGAAGUUCUAAAUAUCUUUCUCUAUUAAUUAUAUUCCCUUUCAGCUAUAUUUAAAGACUUGAUAGUAUCAUUUUCAUUUUUAUCUUAUUCUAGGAAACCCAGUCGAGAAAGUGACUUUGAAUCUGCUACUAUACAGAGACAAGCCAGCAGUCGCCAUUGUCAUGAAAGAAAAGAAAAGGGAUGCUUCUAAGGUAACAUGAACUUGCCACUUCUUUCAAGUACAGUUGUUUAUUGUAUUUCAUAUUGGCUUAGGAUGUGCUAUUAUUGGUUCUCCAUUUAAAUAGACUCAAACUUUCAAUCAAAUAGAGGUACUCAAACUUUCAAUUAAGAAUGGGAAGAACAUGUGAAUUUCGCCUCUGCAUUGGCUAGCAAUUCAUUCCAAGAAUAGCUUCCUUCAACUACUCUCAGAACCGAGGGAAGUGGAACUAUUAUGCUCAAAACUACCAGCAAUCCAAUAGCACUUUCUCAUGAUGGUGCAAAUACUAAAGGGUUCAAAGUUUGAUAACAUUUCUUUGCUUUUUUCUGUCCCUCUUUUCUUUUUAAGUUGGGAGCUAGGUCUAUGUAAAUCACAUUCCUUUUUCAUUGCAAAUGAAUUGCACCUGAUGCAGAUUUCAGUUUGGAUUUCUAUUUGUUAGUUAGCUUAUGAAGGAAAUAUUCUUUGUCA